CGGAGCCCUAAGUGGUGGCCAUGAUUAUUGGGCGUAAAGCGUUCGUAGCCGUUUUUGCAAGUUCUCGGUGAAAUUCUAGGUCUCAAGCCUAGAGCGUGCCGAGAAUACUACAAGAAUUGGGACUGGGAAGGGUAGAGAGAAUACCAGGAGUAGAGGUGAAAUUCUGUAAUUCCUGGCAGACUACCAGUGGCGAAGGCGCUCUACUAGAACAGGUCCGACGGUGAGGAACGAAAGCUUGGGUAGCGAACCGGAUUAGAUACCCGAGUAGUCC
This 271-nucleotide ribosomal RNA is filed under the name uncultured archaeon. RNAcentral describes it as "partial 16S ribosomal RNA". It matches the Rfam family "Archaeal small subunit ribosomal RNA", at positions 477 to 747 of the family's 1478-position model. The record is from RNAcentral.